This 468-nucleotide ribosomal RNA is filed under the name uncultured bacterium. Its description in RNAcentral is "partial 16S ribosomal RNA". It matches the Rfam family "Bacterial small subunit ribosomal RNA", at positions 28 to 507 of the family's 1533-position model. The record is from RNAcentral.
GACGAACGCUGGCGGCGUGCUUAACACAUGCAAGUCGAACGGAAGGGCCCUGCUUUUGUAGGGUGCUCGAGUGGCGAACGGGUGAGUAACACGUGAGUAACCUGCCCUUGACUUUGGGAUAACUUCAGGAAACUGGGGCUAAUACCGGAUAGGAGCUCCUGCUGCAUGGUGGGGGUUGGAAAGUUUCGGCGGUUGGGGAUGGACUCGCGGCUUAUCAGCUUGUUGGUGGGGUAGUGGCUUACCAAGGCUUUGACGGGUAGCCGGCCUGAGAGGGUGACCGGCCACAUUGGGACUGAGAUACGGCCCAGACUCCUACGGGAGGCAGCAGUGGGGAAUAUUGCACAAUGGGCGGAAGCCUGAUGCAGCAACGCCGCGUGCGGGAUGACGGCCUUCGGGUUGUAAACCGCUUUCGCCUGUGACGAAGCGUGAGUGACGGUAAUGGGUAAAGAAGCACCGGCUAACUACGUG